This 253-nucleotide ribosomal RNA is filed under the name uncultured bacterium. RNAcentral's name for it is "partial 16S ribosomal RNA". It matches the Rfam family "Bacterial small subunit ribosomal RNA", at positions 524 to 776 of the family's 1533-position model. The record is from RNAcentral.
UACGUAGGGGGCAAGCGUUGUCCGGAUUUAUUGGGCGUAAAGAGCGUGUAGGCGGCCAGGUAGGUCCGCUGUGAAAACUCGAGGCUCAACCUCGAGACGUCGAUGGAAACCAUCUGGCUAGAGUCCGGAAGAGGAGAGUGGAAUUCCUGGUGUAGCGGUGAAAUGCGCAGAUAUCAGGAAGAACACCUAUGGCGAAGGCAGCUCUCUGGGACGGUACUGACGCUGAGACGCGAAAGCGUGGGGAGCGAACAGG